CGUGACCGGCAGCAAAAAGAGAGAGAGGAAAAGGAGCAAAGAAGAUUAAUGAAAGAAAGGGAGGAGAGAGAAAAGGCUAGACAGGCCGUAGAAAGAGCCACACGAGAAGCUCGUGAACGAGCAGCUGCUGAAGCACGCCAGAGAGCUGAGAGGGCUGCUGUUGGGAAAGCUAAUGCUGAAGCCCGAGAGCGUGCUGAAAGAGCUGCAGUACAAAGGGCACAUGCUGAAGCCCGAGAAAGGGCAGCUGCAGAAGCAAAGGAAAGAGCUGAAAAGGCUGCUGCAGCGGCAAAGGAGAGGGAAGCACGGGAAAGAGCUACAGCUGCG
This 324-nucleotide long non-coding RNA is filed under the name Medicago truncatula (barrel medic). Its description in RNAcentral is "long non-coding RNA (MTRU_LNC006621)". Lineage: Eukaryota; Viridiplantae; Streptophyta; Magnoliopsida; Fabales; Fabaceae. The record is from RNAcentral.